This 848-nucleotide long non-coding RNA is filed under the name Carassius auratus (goldfish). Its description in RNAcentral is "lncRNA (ENSCARG00000042894.1)". The record is from RNAcentral. Lineage: Eukaryota; Metazoa; Chordata; Actinopteri; Cypriniformes; Cyprinidae.
AUGAUUUCUUAUUUCACGGUUUUGUUUUUCUGUAAUUAUGCUAUGUCUGUAAUCUUUACUAGUCAGGUCAUUGCAUCCUGUGAUAUUGUUGUAGUCUUGCACUGUCUCCUUGCCAAGUGUUGCCAUCAGCACCAUUUAAAGGAGAUAUUGAUACUUUGGCUCUCUAUAUGCAAAUUCAGAUCUGCUUCUAACCCUUACGCAACUACGCCUAGCUUGCUUAGCAUCUUUGAAAAAAAAGGCCAGAACCCUCAAUUUUGAUCUACGACCAUCUAUGAUUCUGGAAAACUUGAUACACUGUUAAUACUUGAUACACUAUUUAUACUUGAUACCACAAAGAUUUACACCCAAUCUUACAACCUGAAAAAAUCAAUCUCAAACCACAGAAAAAAAAAAAAAACUGAUAAGAAAACUGAGCUGCAUCUUCAGAAGGAGUAAGUAAAUUGACCUCUUCACUGUUUUCACUGUUGUAUAUUCGUCAAGGACCACUGAUUUGACGACUACAUCAGCUUUGACACAACGAUAAGAUUUGUUACAUUUUAUAUAUAUCAGUAAAUAUAUUCAAUAAUCAGUAAUUAAAAAAAAUAUUCUUACAUUUACUACAUUUACUUCCCAGUGAUUAAAAGUCAAUAUGCCAAAGAAAAGGAAAGAGGAGUGAAUCACAGAAACAGCGCAGAAAGCUACAGUCUUCAUUGGGCACCAGUAACAGUACCAACUCUGUAUCAGGUAUGAGUGAUGAAAACCCGUAUGUGCUGUCUGUUAAAGCGUCUCACUGUCAGACCGAUGUGAGGUACAGUGGGUAUUCCAGAGGGCGUCAGUGUGUAAUUCCUUAAUAUUCCUAGCAGUCCAUA